RNAcentral lists this unclassified non-coding RNA (210 nucleotides) under uncultured fungus. Its description in RNAcentral is "partial contains 18S rRNA, ITS1, 5.8S rRNA, ITS2 and 28S rRNA". Lineage: Eukaryota; Fungi. The record is from RNAcentral.
AAGGAUCAUUAAAGAGAUCAUGCCCUCACGGGUAGACCUCCCACCCUUUGUUUACAAUACCUUUGUUGCUUUGGCGGGCCCGUUUGGCCCCGCGCUGAACAACCGGCCCCGGCUGGUCAGUGCCCGCCAGAGAACCGAAAACUCCGAAUUAAAUGUCGUCUGAGUACUAUGUAAUAGUUAAAACUUUCAACAACGGAUCUCUUGGUUCUG